UACAAAAUUAGUCUGCACAUAUAAUCUUGCGGAUUUGUUCUUUAAAAUUUAAAAGAUAUUUUUGCUGUAAAAUUUCCCCGAAAAGUACGUAUCCCAUUCAUCUAGUAACACUGAUUAAUAUACAUACUAAACAACACAUACAAGCUUGACAACUUUCUGAUAUCUCGUUGUUAAAUUAUAUCAACCAAAUAGAAUAAAAAAAAACUACGUGAGUUACGGCAUUCAGCAGCCGGGUAUUAGCUUUUCAGCUUUUCCUAACACGUAAUCGGUGACAUUAUAAGCUUUUUUAGCAGCAGCGGUGAAGGGAAAUUCAUUGCAUUGCACAUUUUCGUGAGAAUUAAGAGAGAGAGAUAGAGAAACAAUAAUGAAAGAGAAUAGCUUAUUGCAACUUAGGGAUUCAAACUUAUACUAUACAAUGGGAAACUUCCAAAAUUUAGAUAUUGUAUCUUUUCGGGUUUCCGUCGUCCGUCGUCGAUAAACCAGUAUGCACUGGCACGGGCAAGAAAUUAUAUAUUCAACUUGAAUCAUUGAUUUAAUUAGUUGUUUAUUUGGUUGUUUUCUUUUUCUACUAUAUUUCUUUGAUAAAGAGCUUCGUGAUAAUAAAAUAAUAAUAAUAAAUAAAAAAACUACAGAAGCAAAAAAAAAAGAAGAAUAUAAAAAAAAAAUGAUAUACACAUUCGCAUUUGUACUAUUAUCGGCGCAUAAAAACAUAGAGGCUCGCCCUCGCUUUUUCUAUGGAAAAUGUUCAAAAUUUGCGCAUUUCAAUAUUUCGUUGUCGUUGGUUUUCGUGCUAUGAUUUAUGAGUAUUUAAAAUGCAUAUAGAGACACACGACAAAACCACCACCAAGACAAGUGCAAUUCCUACGGCAAGAGAUAGACAUCCAUCUACAAUCAGUUUUUGUAACGCCGCCGAGCCGGUCGAGGUAGACAAAUCGACUAAAAAUUUAUAUUAUUUACCCAGUCUGGUUUUUUGUUACACAAUUUUUUAAAUGCCAAUUACUAUUUGAGAACUGAGAAAAUAAUAUUGCUCAACUUCAAGUUAAUGAUGGAAAUCCGAAAAAUGUUUUGGAAAACUCACAGGGGUUGUUAGAUUUAAAAAAACGGUGAAAAAAAAGGAUUGAAAAAUUUGCGGUGCAGUGCGUGGGAGAAUAUGAAUACUCUACCUAUAAGCAACGUUCAACGACGACGAGAAAACCUCCAAAAGUGAUUAAUCGUUAAAAUCGAUAUUGUGAACCUAUGUGUUGUACACCGUACACCGUACACCCGGAAGGUGCUGCUAUACGGUGAAAGAGGCUGGAGCGACAACGAACGAGGGGAAUACGAACGAAUACUUUGCCGUGAACGGAGUUUUUUUUUUUUUUUUCGUUUCUCCACCAGACAAAGUAGGAUAUUUUAUUUUCGUCUGCCGAAGUUGUGCCGGCGAAUAUGAUAAAAUACAUCACGCACAAGUUGCGAACACAGUCGAUUAACGAUAACCUUAGUAAUUCUUGUAAUUUUAGCAAAAAGAGUGACGUACACGAUUCCGGAACCGAAUCUGAUGGUGAUAUAGAUGCUGAGAGAGUCCACUCAGAGCCCGAAAUGGAAACAAGCAUGAGCUCCCGCCUAGACGCUACUUCCCCAACUGAUACCGCCUGCUCCUUAGAUUCCCCUGCCAUGAUGUGUCAGUCCCACCUGUUAUAUGAUCAACACAGCUCUGAAGAAGAGCUUGAAGUUAUAAAUGGACCGUCUUCUUUAGCAGCUGCAGAAGCGGCAGCCAGUAUUUUAGUUGUACGUGGAACAGCCUCAUCACUCAUAUCGGAACGAGGUUCAUCAUCCUUAGAGCCAGAUGAACUUUUUGGUGAGGCUGCUUCAACAUCGAAACGUUCCAGCUCGACGAUGAUAGAAAACAGAAAACGAUCUUUGGCUCACAGUUCAGAUGAUGAACUAAAAAAUAUGUUAGAACCGAUCUCAACACCAGUUAACUUCCGGACCUCGCCACCAUUGGAGGCGUUAAAACCGAAUCGAAGCCAUAUGUUCCGUUCCGCAACUCCGCUUAUCCUGACUGAGGCGAGUCGUGGCAUUGAGAACAUUAAAAUUUCUUGUGAUAGUACUAGUAGUGACCAAAACGGCGGCAGCGGUGAUGGAAGCAGCAGCAGCAACAACAGUGGCAAUGGUGAGCAAAAUUCAGCCAGUACCAGUAAUCAAAGUAGCUGUAUUGCUGCAUUAAAAUCAAGCUGCAGCAGCCAUCAUAUCCACCAACCUCAGCCAAAAUAUCAAUUUCAUUACAACAGUAGUAGAAGCAGUCCAGCAUCAACAACAGGACUAGAAUUGGAUGUGCGUUCAGUAAGCCCGCCGGCGAAACUUUUUCAUUGUGCAAUAUCCCCACGUCGGCGACCAAUGCGAGCCCAUCACGCACCAAAUAGACUACAGCGUCCUCAUAGACCAUGUUUAGAUUUUGAUAAAAUGCAACAGCAAAGUGACUCAACAACCAAUGAACCUCCAACGUGUAAGAGCGUAUUUCCAAUAGUAUGACCAUUUUGUAGGAAUUAUCGUAUAGUAGCCACUACUGUGAUAAAAUUACUGCAAACGACAUGAAUUGAAACUCCAGGACCGAUCGGUGUCCUCGUGGCGGCACAAUAGCGAACAUACAGGUGAAUUGUCUGUUUUCUGUUGGUGAUGAGAUACAAAACAACAACAAAAAAUAACAAAAAUAGAAAACUUUUUGCUCUCCUUCUACAACAACAACAACUCCCAUGAAAACAAAAUUUGGUCAUCUACAAUAGCCACACCACCCCCAACCGCCCCCUUUAUCAAAUACCAAAACCCCCAUCAUCAGAGUUACCAGAGUGUUUGCGGUCCUCCUCGUCGAAGUUAUAUUGGAUUUUUACGAAUUUAAUUUGUGGCUCACACGUUUCAAUGGAUGCGGAAAUUAUGUGUCGAAUUUGUCAGUUCUGUCUUAAAGAAUUAAAAAAAUAAUAUAUAUAUAAAUAAUUAUAUAAUAAAGUUGAUUUGUUUCCCACGGAAAUGGCAACGAUGAUGUAUUAAAAAAUAACUUUUUUAUGGAUAUGCAUUGACAUUAUUGUUAAACAAAAAAAAAAAAAGUAUAUUUUAAAUUUUUGUUUCGUUUUCUUAUAUUUUACUUUGUCCUUCCUCCAAUUUUCACAAUAUCCAAAUUUUAAAUUUAAUCAAAAACAAAAAAACAAACAAAAACACCGCCAAUUUAUCUUCGACGACAGUAUACAGUUACAGCAAAA
Episyrphus balteatus (marmalade hoverfly) is the source of this 3233-nucleotide RNA transcript. It is a transcript of the gene named dentin sialophosphoprotein, with no coding region annotated. Lineage: Eukaryota; Metazoa; Arthropoda; Insecta; Diptera; Syrphidae. The transcript has 6 exons. The record is from RefSeq and is a predicted model, not a curated record.